GUCCGCACCGUAAACGAUGAUUACUCGUUGUUGGCAAUAUGACCGUCAGCGACCAAGCGAAAGCGAUAAGUAAUCCACCUGGGGAGUACGCCGGCAACGGUGAAACUCAAAGGAAUUGACGGGGGCCCGCACAAGCGGAGGAGCAUGUGGUUUAAUUCGAUGAUACGCGAGGAACCUUACCUGGGCUUGAAAGUUAGCGACCGGUCCUGAAAGGGAUCUUCCAGCAAUGGCGCGAAACUAGGUGCUGCAUGGCUGUCGU
Molecule: ribosomal RNA, 259 nt
Filed under: uncultured bacterium
Lineage: Bacteria
Description: partial 16S ribosomal RNA
Rfam family: Bacterial small subunit ribosomal RNA
Source: RNAcentral